RNAcentral lists this unclassified non-coding RNA (286 nucleotides) under Hevea brasiliensis (rubber tree). Lineage: Eukaryota; Viridiplantae; Streptophyta; Magnoliopsida; Malpighiales; Euphorbiaceae. The record is from RNAcentral.
AGAAGACCAUUUUUCAGGUUUCCAGAAAAAUCAUUCUAAAGGAAGCUUUGUAAUGGAUGCAAGAAACAACAUAUCGAAAGGAGCAGUAUCUAGUAGAAGAAGCAGUGGAGCAACUAAAUUAGCUCAUAACAUGGAUUUGUUUUCACCCUUUGUCUUUUCAUCUAGUUAUGAAUGAACUCAUCAUGCAUUUUAGAAAAUUCUCAGGUCCACAUUUUGAGUGGAAAUUAAAAGGUAUUGAUACCAAAGAUGGAACUAUAUUCACAGUUGAUUAACAGUUCAAGCCGUG